Molecule: long non-coding RNA, 507 nt
Filed under: Lonchura striata (white-rumped munia)
Lineage: Eukaryota; Metazoa; Chordata; Aves; Passeriformes; Estrildidae
Description: domestica (Bengalese finch) lncRNA (ENSLSDG00000003473.1)
Source: RNAcentral
CCAGGAAUUUAUUGGGGUGACAGCGGGUGACAUUCCUGUCACCGUGCCAGGUCUGGGUGACAUCAGGCCACUGUGCCAGGUCUGGGUGACAUCCGGUGACAGCGGGUGACAGCGGGUGACAUCAGGUGACAGCCGUGUCACCGUGCCAGGUCUGGGUGACAUCCGGUGACAGCGGGUGACAUCAGGUGACAGCCGUGUCACCGUGCCAGGUCUGGGUGACAUCCGGUGACAUCUGGUGACAGCAGGUGACAGCUCCAGGUGGCAGCAGGUGACAGCCGUGUCACCAUGCCAGGUCUGGGUGACACCUCCAGGUGACACCCAGGUGACAUCGGUGUCACCGUGCCAGCUCCGUGUCCAUGUGCCAGCUCUGGGUGACACCUCCAGGUGACAUCGGUGUCCCUGUCCCAGCUCUGGGUGACACCUCCAGGUGACAGCCGUGUCACUGUGCCAUCUCCAUGUCCUCGUGUCACACGCGUGUCACCGUGCCAGCUCCGUGUCACACCUCCA